RNAcentral lists this ribosomal RNA (507 nucleotides) under uncultured bacterium. RNAcentral describes it as "partial 16S ribosomal RNA". It matches the Rfam family "Bacterial small subunit ribosomal RNA", at positions 28 to 507 of the family's 1533-position model. The record is from RNAcentral.
GACGAACGCUGGCGGCGUGCCUAAUACAUGCAAGUCGAACGCAUUUUCUUUCAACGUAGCUUGAUACCCCGAAAGAAAGUGAGAGGCCAUAGGGAGAGUACCACGUAGGUAACAUGACCAUCAGCGGAGGAUAAUAAUUGCACACAGGUGCUAAUACUGCAUAAUUCCAUUUUACUCAAGUUAGAAGGGUGAAAGGCGCGUUUGCGUCACUGUUGGAUGGUGCUGCGGUGAAGUAGCUAGAAGGUGGGGUAACGGACUACGAAUGCUGAGAUGAAUAGCCGUCCGGGGAGGGUGAUCGGCCACACUGGGACUGAGACACAGCCAAGACUCCGACUGGAGGCAGCAGUAGGGAUUCUUCGGCUAUGGACGCAGGUCUGACCGUGCAACGCCGCGGGAGUGAAGAAGGUUUUCGGAUUGUAAAUCGCUGUUGUUAGAUAAGAACAAGGAUGAGAGUGGAAAGUUCAUCCCUUGACGGUAUCUAACCAGAAAGCCACGGCUAACUACGUG